CAACUGUUGCUUCGGCGGGUAGGCCGUCCCCUGAAAAGGACGCCUCCCGGCCCGGACCGGACCCCCCGCGGGACCGGACCCGGCGCCCGCCGGAGGAUAACCAAACUCUAUUGUAACGACGUUUCUUCUGAGUGGCAUAAGCAAAAUAAUCAAAACUUUUAACAACGGAUCUCUUGGUUCUGGCAUCGAUGAAGAACGCAGCGAAAUGCGAUAAGUAAUGUGAAUUGCAGAAUUCAGUGAAUCAUCGAAUCUUUGAACGCACAUUGCGCCCGCCAGCAUUCUGGCGGGCAUGCCUGUUCGAGCGUCAUUUCAACCCUCAAGCUCUGCUUGGUGUUGGGGCUCUACGGUCGACGUAGGCCCUCAAAGGUAGUGGCGGACCCUCCCGGAGCCUCCUUUGCGUAGUAACAUUUCGUCUCGCACUGGGAUCCGGAGGGACUCUUGCCGUAAAACCCCCCAAUUUUCCAAAGGUUGACCUCGGAUCAGGUAGGAAUACCCGCUGAACUUAAGCAUA
This 511-nucleotide ribosomal RNA is filed under the name Colletotrichum sp. GZUCCZY0103. RNAcentral's name for it is "eukaryotic LSU rRNA". The stretch from base 154 to 307 matches the Rfam family "5.8S ribosomal RNA". Lineage: Eukaryota; Fungi; Ascomycota; Sordariomycetes; Glomerellales; Glomerellaceae. The record is from RNAcentral.